RNAcentral lists this ribosomal RNA (253 nucleotides) under uncultured prokaryote. RNAcentral's name for it is "partial 16S ribosomal RNA". It matches the Rfam family "Bacterial small subunit ribosomal RNA", at positions 525 to 777 of the family's 1533-position model. The record is from RNAcentral.
ACGGAGGGUGCGAGCGUUAUCCGGAUUCACUGGGUUUAAAGGGUGCGUAGGUGGACAGGUAAGUCAGUGGUGAAAUCUUCGAGCUUAACUCGGAAACUGCCAUUGAUACUAUCUGUCUUGAAUGCCCUGGAGGUAAGCGGAAUAUGUCAUGUAGCGGUGAAAUGCUUAGAUAUGACAUAGAACACCGAUUGCGAAGGCAGCUUACUACGGGGUGAUUGACACUGAGGCACGAAAGCGUGGGGAUCAAACAGGA